Molecule: ribosomal RNA, 702 nt
Filed under: uncultured Erythrobacteraceae bacterium
Lineage: Bacteria; Pseudomonadati; Pseudomonadota; Alphaproteobacteria; Sphingomonadales; Erythrobacteraceae
Description: bacterial SSU rRNA
Rfam family: Bacterial small subunit ribosomal RNA
Source: RNAcentral
AACGAACGCUGGCGGCAUGCCUAACACAUGCAAGUCGAACGAGACCUUCGGGUCUAGUGGCGCACGGGUGCGUAACGCGUGGGAACCUGCCUUUAGGUUCGGGAUAACAGUUGGAAACGACUGCUAAUACCGGAUGAUGUCUUCGGACCAAAGAUUUAUCGCCUUUAGAUGGGCCCGCGUUGGAUUAGCUAGUUGGUGGGGUAAAGGCCUACCAAGGCGACGAUCCAUAGCUGGUCUGAGAGGAUGAUCAGCCACACUGGGACUGAGACACGGCCCAGACUCCUACGGGAGGCAGCAGUGGGGAAUAUUGGACAAUGGGCGAAAGCCUGAUCCAGCAAUGCCGCGUGAGUGAUGAAGGCCUUAGGGUUGUAAAGCUCUUUUACCAGGGAUGAUAAUGACAGUACCUGGAGAAUAAGCUCCGGCUAACUCCGUGCCAGCAGCCGCGGUAAUACGGAGGGAGCUAGCGUUGUUCGGAAUUACUGGGCGUAAAGCGCACGUAGGCGGCUAUUUAAGUCAGGGGUGAAAUCCCGGGGCUCAACCCCGGAACUGCCUCUGAAACUGGAUAGCUAGAAUCUUGGAGAGGUCAGUGGAAUUCCGAGUGUAGAGGUGAAAUUCGUAGAUAUUCGGAAGAACACCAGUGGCGAAGGCGACUGACUGGACAAGUAUUGACGCUGAGGUGCGAAAGCGUGGGGAGCAAACAGG